AAAAAAAGGAUUGAUCAAGUAGGUAUUUUCAAAGGUGUAAUUGGUUCUAAAAUAUAAACCAAUCGAUCACCCUCUUAAACCAAUUGAUGCCCUCAUGGAAGGGAUUGAUCGAGUGUGCCUUGGAACAACUCCAAUAGCUAUUUUCUUAUGCUUUCAAUGGCUAUUUUCUUCUCCCAAGCAUCCCCAAUGGCUAGCUUUUCAAUUUCUCUAUAUAUUAGUCACUCCAACACACCAAGAAGGU
This 241-nucleotide long non-coding RNA is filed under the name Durio zibethinus. RNAcentral's name for it is "long non-coding RNA (DZIB_LNC000434)". The record is from RNAcentral. Lineage: Eukaryota; Viridiplantae; Streptophyta; Magnoliopsida; Malvales; Malvaceae.